GUCUACAGCCAUACUAUCCCAGAAGCGCCUGAUCUUGUCUGAUCUUGGAAGCUAAACAGGGUCAGACCUGGUUAGUACUUGGAUGGGAGAUUGCCUGGGAAUACUGGGUGUUGUAAGCU
RNAcentral lists this ribosomal RNA (119 nucleotides) under Varanus komodoensis (Komodo dragon). The record is from RNAcentral. Lineage: Eukaryota; Metazoa; Chordata; Lepidosauria; Squamata; Varanidae.